RNAcentral lists this ribosomal RNA (308 nucleotides) under Thiothrix eikelboomii. Its description in RNAcentral is "bacterial SSU rRNA". It matches the Rfam family "Bacterial small subunit ribosomal RNA", at positions 585 to 891 of the family's 1533-position model. Lineage: Bacteria; Pseudomonadati; Pseudomonadota; Gammaproteobacteria; Thiotrichales; Thiotrichaceae. The record is from RNAcentral.
AAGUCAGAUGUGAAAUCCCCGGGCUCAACCUGGGAACUGCAUCUGAUACUGGAGAGCUAGAAUGUGGGAGAGGGAAGUGGAAUUUCCGGUGUAGCGGUGAAAUNCAUAGAGAUCGGAAGGAACAUCAGUGGCGAAGGCGACUUCCUGGACCAACAUUGACGCUGAGGCACGAAAGCGUGGGUAGCAAACAGGAUUAGAUNCCCUGGUAGUCCACGCCGUAAACGAUGUCAACUAGCCGUCGGCUCCAACUAAGGGGUCGGUGGUGCAGCUAACGCAUUAAGUUGACCGCCUGGGGAGUACGCGCGCAA